Molecule: transfer RNA, 69 nt
Filed under: Marmota monax (woodchuck)
Lineage: Eukaryota; Metazoa; Chordata; Mammalia; Rodentia; Sciuridae
Description: tRNA.Ala
Source: RNAcentral
GGAGUUAUGGCUCAGUGGUAAAGCACUUGCCUAGCAUGCAUGAGACACUGGGUUUGUUCCCCAACACCA